Molecule: long non-coding RNA, 362 nt
Organism: Prionailurus viverrinus (fishing cat)
Lineage: Eukaryota; Metazoa; Chordata; Mammalia; Carnivora; Felidae
Exons: 3
Source: RefSeq, a predicted model, not a curated record
CUAAAAGGAGCAGGGAACCAGUCUCUCAUUUAACUUUUAGCACAUAUGCUUGAAGGGAGGUGUGACUGACAUAAGACUGGUAGCUGUGCAGUCAUCCAAAAGAACUAAAAGUGGGAUUAACUGUUAUGACAAGAUUUAAAAUAGCUGGGAAUUAUAUUAGUUCUUACAAAAGAAGGGAAAUGAAGCACAGAAACAACCUAAGAGUACUGAUUGUUUUACAUAUGAAAAGAAGGAGAGUUUGCUGUGAGAUGCUGAGAUGCUACAAGGAGGUUUAGAAGAAAUGAAGGGAUUGGGGGCGCUCUUAAGAAGCAGUAUCAGAUAUAGCACGGCCUUUGGAAUCCUUUCUUACAAUUUGAAUUCUG